This 490-nucleotide ribosomal RNA is filed under the name uncultured bacterium. RNAcentral's name for it is "partial 16S ribosomal RNA". It matches the Rfam family "Bacterial small subunit ribosomal RNA", at positions 29 to 507 of the family's 1533-position model. The record is from RNAcentral.
AUUGAACGCUGGCGGCAUGCCUUACACAUGCAAGUCGAACGGCAUCGCGGGAAAGCUUGCUUUCCUGGCGGCGAGUGGCGAACGGGUGAGUAACACAUCGGAACGUACCGGCUAGUGGGGGAUAACCCGUCGAAAAACGGGCUAAUACCGCAUACGCUCUUCGGAGGAAAGCAGGGGACCUUUGGGCCUUGCGCUAGCCGAGCGGCCGAUGUCCGAUUAGCUAGUUGGUGGGGUAAAGGCCUACCAAGGCGACGAUCGGUAGCGGGUCUGAGAGGACGAUCCGCCACACUGGGACUGAGACACGGCCCAGACUCCUACGGGAGGCAGCAGUGGGGAAUCUUGGACAAUGGGGGCAACCCUGAUCCAGCAAUGCCGCGUGGGUGAAGAAGGCCUUCGGGUUGUAAAGCCCUUUCGGCAGGGAAGAAAUCGGCGGGGCGAAUAACCCUGCUGGAUGACGGUACCUGCAGAAGAAGCACCGGCUAACUACGUG